This 396-nucleotide long non-coding RNA is filed under the name Brassica napus (rape). RNAcentral describes it as "long non-coding RNA (BNAP_LNC020942)". Lineage: Eukaryota; Viridiplantae; Streptophyta; Magnoliopsida; Brassicales; Brassicaceae. The record is from RNAcentral.
GGAAUAAGGCUCACUUGAUGAUAGAAAGCUCUGGUUUACCUAAGUCUUUUUUCCCUCAAGGAACUCAUGUGGUUAUUCUGUUGUUAUUCAUCGGGAGUGCUUCAAGCUUGAACGUGGUAGAAAGGGGAAGACUAAGAGUUAUAUCGGAUUUUAUAAUACAGAAAAUAUCAAUUGGAGUUUUUUUUUUGUCGGCCAAAUGGAGUUAUUUGUUCUGCGAUUGUGCAUCUGUGUAACAGUUUUGCAACUUGCCAAUUUGUUAUUAACAUGUUAAAUUGGAAAUAAUAUAAGGAAAAUAAUUGAGGGAAAAUUUAUUUGAAAUUAUUAGUGGCUGAUAGGGGUGUCAAUUCGGGCCCGGCUCAGUCCGGCCCAACUCCACUAAACCCGUAAAUAUUUAAG